AGAGUUUGAUCCUGGCUCAGAUUGAACGCUGGCGGCAGGCCUAACACAUGCAAGUCGAGCGGAAACGAGUUAUCUGAACCUUCGGGGGACGAUAACGGCGUCGAGCGGCGGACGGGUGAGUAAUGCCUAGGAAAUUGCCCUGAUGUGGGGGAUAACCAUUGGAAACGAUGGCUAAUACCGCAUAACACCUACGGGUCAAAGAGGGGGACCUUCGGGCCUCUCGCGUCAGGAUAUGCCUAGGUGGGAUUAGCUAGUUGGUGAGGUAAUGGCUCACCAAGGCGACGAUCCCUAGCUGGUCUGAGAGGAUGAUCAGCCACACUGGAACUGAGACACGGUCCAGACUCCUACGGGAGGCAGCAGUGGGGAAUAUUGCACAAUGGGCGCAAGCCUGAUGCAGCCAUGCCGCGUGUGUGAAGAAGGCCUUCGGGUUGUAAAGCACUUUCAGUCGUGAGGAAGGUAGUGUAGUUAAUAGCUGCAUUAUUUGACGUUAGCGACAGAAGAAGCACCGGCUAACUCCGUGCCAGCAGCCGCGGUAAU
This 537-nucleotide ribosomal RNA is filed under the name uncultured bacterium. RNAcentral's name for it is "bacterial SSU rRNA". It matches the Rfam family "Bacterial small subunit ribosomal RNA", at positions 8 to 524 of the family's 1533-position model. The record is from RNAcentral.